RNAcentral lists this long non-coding RNA (300 nucleotides) under Ananas comosus (pineapple). Its description in RNAcentral is "long non-coding RNA (ACOM_LNC036315)". Lineage: Eukaryota; Viridiplantae; Streptophyta; Magnoliopsida; Poales; Bromeliaceae. The record is from RNAcentral.
CAUAUAUAUAUAUAUAGAGUUAAGCUGGAAUGCUAUAUAUCAGUAGCAAAUAGGCUCUGUUGCCACCCAUUUGUUUUCGAUGAUGGAGCUUUCAAAUCGACGAUCGGCACGGCACCGUUGAACAUGAUCUAUAUCACUUGAAGUAUUUAGAAAUUAAAUUUCAAAUCUUUUCGAUAUUAUUUAACUAAUGAUCAAAGGGUUUCAAAAUUAGUAAUUUUAAUGGUUGAUAUGAGGGAUUUUCUCGUUUAACGGUGUAAAGCUAUUCAAAUCAAUUGAAUUUUGGUUAGAAAAUUCUUUAAA